GCCAAUGGCACUGCCCGGUAGCUAAAUGCGGAAGAGAUAAGUGCUGAAAGCAUCUAAGCACGAAACUUGCCCCGAGAUGAGUUCUCCCUGAGACUAUAAGUCUCCUGAAGGAACGUUAAAGACUAUGACGUUGAUAGGUCGGGUGUGUAAGCGCAGCGAUGCGUUGAGCUAACCGAUACUAAUGAACCGUGAGGCUUAACCUU
Molecule: ribosomal RNA, 203 nt
Filed under: Enterobacter kobei
Lineage: Bacteria; Pseudomonadati; Pseudomonadota; Gammaproteobacteria; Enterobacterales; Enterobacteriaceae
Description: partial 23S ribosomal RNA
Rfam family: Bacterial large subunit ribosomal RNA
Source: RNAcentral